Molecule: long non-coding RNA, 209 nt
Filed under: Mytilus galloprovincialis (Mediterranean mussel)
Lineage: Eukaryota; Metazoa; Mollusca; Bivalvia; Mytilida; Mytilidae
Source: RNAcentral
AACACUAUACUAAAAAAUAAAAAUCGUAAAUUUUCGGCGAAAUUGUAGACUGACUUCAACAUAUUCAAUUAAAUACACACAACACAACACUAUAAUAAAAAAUAAAAAUCAGGGCGAACAUACCCAGGGCGAACAGGUAUCAGGGCGAACGGUCUCAGGGCGAAACAGAACUAGGGCGAACCGAAAUCAGGGCGGACGGACCCGGAUUC